Molecule: RNA transcript, 3356 nt
Organism: Dreissena polymorpha
Lineage: Eukaryota; Metazoa; Mollusca; Bivalvia; Myida; Dreissenidae
Exons: 3
Source: RefSeq, a predicted model, not a curated record
GCGCCGUAGUUAGAAGAAAGUAUUGAAUUCACCCGACAAACUCCGCAUAUGAUCAAUACUUCACUUACUGCGUUGUGUUUAAUAGGUAUUCGGAGAGUGAACCUGUUGUAUAGAUUCUAUAAGUGUUGUGCAUUCGAUCAAUGUCUUUUCUGUGCGUAAUAGAGCUUGAAAUCGUAACAAAGAUCAAUUAUUCGUAGUAAAAGAUCGAUGUAACCUUGAAAACUUCAUCUAAUAGGAUUAAAUGAUUAACUGGUUAAGUGAUUUCAACAGGGAAACCAGGAUAUCUGUGCUUUCUUGGGGAAACACGCUGUUGUUUUUGUAGUUUAAUCGAAGAUAAUGAUUGGGUCAGUGACUUGUUUACGGUAGUUGCAUUCGUUCUAUUUCAAAGAAACAAAAGAGAUUUCCAUAGGAAAACAACGGUGUCUUAUAUGAGAGGAUUUUUUCAGAAUGCGCAUCACCAUCAUGAGAGAAAGAUGGAAUAACUUGUAUGUGGAAUAACGUCUAAUUCAUAUGUACCUCCUUCGUCAUAUUAACAAGCGCAUACGUAAUUUGAACGGAUUUAUCAUUUAUCGCUAUAACGGAAACAAUGAAUUCAGUAAAUUAAUCGAGAAGUUUGUAACAUUCAUGUUAUCAAAAUAGUUGUGUAACGUAUUCAUGUUCACUCGCUGGGAUUCAUAUCAACAGCUGCACUUCGAUCUCAGGCCAGGAUUUCAUCACCAUGUAGGAUAAGUGCAAUUACCGCACUGAUCACAUUGAAGAACGCUGUAAAUUUAAGAACGUUUACGUUAAAUCUGAGGAACUUCGUGGCUGACGUCAUGGGCGUUGAACAGUCACACGAGACCCUACCCGUCCUAUACAAAGGACUAUCUGGAUGGAUGCAGGUAUUGGGCGGAUUUCGAGAAGGAGUAUUUCGCCAAGGGAACUUACCGCUACGCGUUCCGGGGAACAGUGCACGGGCAUGGCCCACGUGACGGAAGUAUCUGCGUUGCGAAGGUCUUAAAACGGAAGUACGCCAAAUACUUCGACAGAUGGCGUCCUGACUUCAACGCCAGCGUCAAGGCUCAUUAUUUCGCCACGAUCUUCACGCGUAACGUGCUUCCACAACUACGAAAAUUCGUUUCAACGACCGAAAUUGAGUUCAUCAUUCCGUUGAUCGCGAAAAUGGAUUCUAUUUCUCAUUUCAAAGUGCUCGGUUUGUUUUCCGUUAACGAGGACACUACGUACGUCACGCCGUACGAGUACGUCGCCAUCGAGCCGUAUCUGUACGGUCAGUUUGAGAAAUUCAACUCCAACGGGGGCUUUGAGGACUUCAGUGCUUUUUGUACUUAACACGUUCAGUCACUGGACGUGGCAGGCGAGCGGACACAAGUUCCUCGUAUGCGACCUCCAGGGAGUACAGAACGGCCGAAAGUACAUUCUGACAGACCCUUGCAUCCACUCUGUUGACGGGCGCUUCGGGAUGACGGACCUCGGCGUGGUGGGGAUGGAGAAGGUACUUUCGAAUCAUGUCUGUAACGCCAUGUGCUAUGCUCUGGCUCUGGAGAACCCCAUGGCAGGGCUGCGCCUCGGCGCCCGGAAGUCCCAAGCCACCGCCUACGUGUUCGAGCUGUCGGAGAGUGACAUCUACCGCGCUAACGAGGCUCGCACGCACUACUUCACACUAAUUGAAUCCGUUGUUCAAUGACGACAAGAAUAAGGAACGACGAAUUAAUAAUAUACGAAACUACUUUCGCCUAAACACAAAGUAUUGUGUUUAUUAUCCUUCAGUUUGUGCAGACAGUCAAUGUUUGUGAUGUUGUUGUGCAAUCUAUAGGAAUGCAAGAGGUGUGUGCAGGAAUCAAUUUUUUGAAAGUUUUAAGUUUAACUUGAUGGAAGUAUAGACAGGAAAAAUCGAUGGUCGUGUUCGUUUUUUUGGCAUAAUAUUUCCAAAACGCACGCUGAUUUUUCCACGUCAGGUGAUAAAUCCAAACCGCAUAACGUUGGGCGGCUUUGUACUGCGAGCGAGUAUUAAUAACUCAGUGUUUAUAAUGACAGUAUUUAUAAAGGCAAUUUGCUCUAUUAAAUGAGCGCUUGCAAUCCGUCCUCAAGGCCCAUUUUCUCAUUUUCUUUGUCUGAACAAAACUUUUUCAGUGACUUGAUGCUGAACCUUGAAGGCUGUGCUUUUUAAAUUUAUUCAUUUGGGUUGAAUUUUGUAUUUCUCGGAAUGCAUGUUUGUUUAUAGCGACCAUUGCAAUUCAUUUCAUAUAAUUUUAAGAAAGUGUAUGACAAUCUUAUAAUUAUUUUAAAACAUUAUAGACAAGACAAGACCAGACACUUAAUUGAGACUUGUACUUGUAUUAUAAAAGCAAAUAUUUGAUAAAUAUUAUUAUGUCCAUUUCAAUAAAAUGUGUGCUGAUUUCAGGAACGUAGGUUGAUGACAAUACACGUUUAUGUUCUACCCACAGUUCGUACAACCAUGUCGUAAUUACUGUAAAAUCAUUUGAGUCGCGUUCUGAGAAAACUGGACAUAAUACAUGCGCGUAAAGUGUCGUCCCAGAUUAGCCUGUGUAGUCCGCACAGGCUAAUCAAGGAAGACACUUUCCGCCUAAAUUGGAUUUUGCUUAGAAGAGACUUCAUUUAAACGAAAAAUGUCAUAAAAGCGGAAAGUGUAGUCCCUGAUUAGCCUGUUCGGUCUGCACAGGCUAAUCUGGGACGACACUUUUCGCACAAGCAUUAACCCUAGUUUUCUCAGAACGCAGAUCAUUUGUAUUCGUUGGCAUGAACUUGUCUGAAUUUUUUUUAACGACUUAAUCGUGGGCAAUGAUUGGUUUCCGAUUUGGAAAAAAAACGGAAUUUGCGUCAAUCAUUUUUAAAUGUGCUUGAAAAGUUGUCUUAAGUUCGUGGAUUAACAUAUAAAAUAUAAAAUAGACCACUGCUUAUGUACUUAAAAUAUUUGUCACACUUCUUUUUUUUUAACGACCACAUUUGACAAAUAAAACAGUUGUGCUACAUAAUCACUAUAAUUAUAAUAUGAUUAAAAAUAAUAGAAUAUAAAAAAAUGAGAUUCGGUAUCGCAUCAUGUUUUUUUUAAAAUAGAAAUUCUAAUAAAAUGCAACUUAGAGUAAAGUUUGAUUCUUGAGCCAAGAAUUUUUCAACGUUCAGGUGCACCUAUUAUAUUUGUCGUUAUCGGUGUUUUAUUACAAAAUGUUCCCCAUACAAAAGUCGAUAAAAAAUACAUAUGAUGUGUGCGGUUUUGUUAUGUACUUAAUGUGUUUUAAUUGAAAAAUGUGUGUUUUAUGGAGGAGUGAGGAAUAUUUUAAUAUACAUGCAAUAGAAAAUUUGAAGAUGUAUGUUAUACUUGCCUGCGAUAAAUCUAA